UCUUUGCCAAAUUUGUGGUCCCUAUCACUCUUCCAUGAGAUGCCCUUCUUAUUCACCUGCAACUGCUGGUUGUUGUGGGAGAAACUGUAGGUAUCAUUAAACAAACUCCAAGCUAUAAGACCACAUGGUACAAUUGCCGUCCCAUUGAUAACGUCUUCAGGCUCACAACUGCUGGUUUCAUUCUCACCACUUCGACUCCUCAAUUGUUCGUCACUCCGGCUCUUCACGUACCUGCGAUGAUUCUGGUAAAAGUUGUC
RNAcentral lists this unclassified non-coding RNA (257 nucleotides) under Hevea brasiliensis (rubber tree). Lineage: Eukaryota; Viridiplantae; Streptophyta; Magnoliopsida; Malpighiales; Euphorbiaceae. The record is from RNAcentral.